GACAGUGUCAGGCGGGGAGUUUGACUGGGGCGGUACAUCUGUUAAACAAUAACGCAGGUGUCCUAAGGUUAGCUCAGUGAGGACAGAAACCUCACGUAGAGUAAAAGGGCAAAAGCUAACUUGAUCUAUGACCUUCAGUACUGGUAUAGACCGCGAAAGCGUGGCCUAUCGAUCCUUUUGUUGUUCUUAAACGGUUGACAGUUUCAAGCAAGAGGUGUCAGAAAAGUUACCACAGGGAUAACUGGUAGCGCUAAGGCUUAAUGUGGCUGUCGCAAGGCAGUCAAGCAAGAUAACAUUGAGCGGUGCAGCGUUAUAAACUCUGGUGUUUGUAGUAUCAAUGUGGCAUGACAGGCAACUGUUAUGUUACUUUCGGCCUAGCGUACAAGUCCCAUUGACUUGGGCUUAUUCUUAAUUGAGAUGUCUACGUGUUUGGGGCAACCUGGAUGCGUGGAUGAGCCAUAGAGGGUGAAAGUCCCUUAAUGCGCUGGUAUUGAUGCUACUAAUCAGAGCAGUGAUGUCUGUUGAAACACACAGACAUUGCGAUUUAUUAGAGUCGGGUUGCUUGAGAGUGCAACCUAAAGAGCGAGGUAAACUGCUCGUAAGGCUAUGUAAAUAUGGCUACGACACCGAUAGCAAACAAGUACCGUGAGGGAAAGUUGCAAAGUACUUUGAAGAGAGAGUUAAACAGGGCGUGAAACCGCUAGCUGGUAAAACCCGUCUUGAAACACGGACCAAGGAGUGUAGGAGGGUUGUGUUGGUAGCGUUGAAGGCUAUGAGGGAGUGAUCCUGGCUGGAGCUGCCAAUAGUACAGAUCUUGGUGGUAGUAGCAAAUACUCAAGUGAGACCCUUGAGGGCCAAUGUGGAGAAGGGUUCCAUGCUAACAGCAAUUGGACAUGGGUCAGUCGGUGAAUCAGGUUAAUAUUCCUGAACCAAGAUGAGGAGAUGGCACGGACCACGGGAAUCCGACUGUCUAAUUAAAACAAAGCAUUGCGAUGGCCUAAGAUUGUGGUGUUGACGCAAUGUGAUUUCUGCCCAGUGCUAUGAAUGUCACAGUGAAGAAAUUCAUCUAAGCGCUAGUAACGGCGGGAGUAACUAUGACUCUCUUGUGGUAGCCAAAUGCCUCGUCAUCUAAUUAGUGACGCGCAUGAAUGGAUUAACGAGAUUCCCACUGUCCCUAUCUACUACCUAGCGAAACCACAGCCAAGGGAACGGGCUUGGCAAAAUCAGCGGGGAAAGAAGACCCUGUUGAGCUUGACUCUAGUCUGGCUUUACGCGGAGUAUGAUAUUGUGCCGUUAAGGUGUGAUAUUAUACGUUGCGAGUGGAGCCACGAAGUCGUUUCGUAGAAUACGGGAUGCAAAUUCAGCUAUGAUCAUAGUUAAUAACUAUGGUUGAAGUGUAUUUUUGCUUAUUCCGCUACUGUAAGCGUACACUGCAACCAAUUAGACGGCCAAAUGUGGAAAUAGUUUGCAAGUUUAAUAAGGAAACUUGUUGCUUGUAAGCGCAAAAAUUUAUGUAUCUACUAUAGGUAGCUUGGUUAGAGUCUUGUUAUUCUAUCCGGGUGUAUGAUAUUUUUUGUAGAUACGUGAACUACAUUUGGGUACUGAUUGGCAAAAUGAAAAUCGAAACGCAAGAUUCGUUUAUUCAUAGAAAGCGUCUAGCAUUGUGUCGCAGGUACAAUUGCGCGUCGCCUAGUAUAAGCUUGAUAGUUUUGAAUUCAGGCACGCAUAUUGUGAUUGGGCUUGUCUCGUUCAUAUAUGCGCUGUUUCCUGUCUAAUCGGGUAUUAACUUUACUGGCGGUCCGAUGUAAUUGCUAUGAUAGCCUGUAUACGAUAGUUGGUCUGCAAGAAUUAGCAGUGAGUAGGUCGGCUUUCCACACGCGUUGAAUCAUUGUUCGUAUUGAAUGCGAUUAGUUACGAUUCAACGCCUAAGAGAAUGGCGAAAGCUGUUUCUGAAUCAAAGACAGUGUAAAACAAUGAAGAAAAAAAAGCAAAUAUUUCAGCCUAUGCGCAACACGUGACCAAUAGACAAGAUGUGUAAAAACGAUUGUUUAGUGUUAGUGUGUUUGUGUAUUUGAUGGAUUUGUUUUAAAAUAUUAUAAAAGCAGCACUGUAUGACUCGAAAGGUGCUUGUUGUGCGAUUUUUAGGAAUUGUUCAAUAGGUAUCGGCGGUAACGCAAACAAGGCUCUGAGGAUCGAGUUGGUCGGGCUGUUAGCUGGCAACUUUCAUGAGUUUGUAUCUGUGCUGGACCUUUGUCGGGAUGCAAAUCUGCAGAUAUUGGAUCGGCAUAGAUCGCUCGUUUGUUGGUGGCUGCAGCUACGUUGGUAGCGAUAAUAUAGGAUACUGUAUUAUUGUUAUCAUUACAAAAACGUCAUCGGCCAACAACUAACGAUCGAAUCAGAACUCAAGCUCUCGCAGAAAAUAGUGAAUCAGUUUCAUCUGGUAAAGCGAAUGAUUAGAGGCCUUGGGAGCGAAACGCUCUCAACCUAUUCUCAAACUUUAAAUGGGUGAGAUGUACGACGUACUUAAUUGACGCCGUAUUCACAAGAAUGUAUUGAGAGCUUAGUGGGCCAUUUUUGGUAAGCAGAACUGGCGAUGCGGGAUGAACCGAAAGUGAAGUUAAGGUUGCCGAUAAUGGUGCUAACAAAUUGUGCACUAGCUACACUCAUGAGAUCCCAUGAAAGGUGUAAGUUGCUAAAGACAGCAAGGACGUGGCCAUGGAAGUCGGAAUCAUCUAAGGAGUGUGUAACAACUCACUUGCCGAAGCAACUUGCCCUGAAAAUGGAAGCAGCUCGAGUGUUGAACCUAUACUUCACUCUAGUUAAGUAUCGAGUCGAUCGGUCUUGAUUAGGCCAGACUCUGGAAAUUCUUAAUUCGGAUAUGUUCCAGUAUUAACAAAUGAUGGCAAAGUGAAAUCAAAUUAUAUGUGAUCUGAGGUCUAUAAAAAUGGCCUACAGCGCAACAUAUGCCUACUCGUAUGGUUAUACGCGCAAGUGUUAACCGGGUGGAGCAAAGAGAUACUUGACUGGUAUUCUCUCACUUGGCCGUACCCAUAUCCGCAGCAGGUCUCCAAGGUUAACAGCCUCUGGUCACUUAGGAUAAUGUAGGUAAGGGAAGUCGGCAAAACGGAUCCGUAACUUCGGGAUAAGGAUUGUGAAGAGACAUGAGAGGUGUAGCAUAGGUGGGAGGUGUGUGUUGAAAGGCAUGCACCGCAAGUGAAAUACCACUACUUUCAUUGUUUCUUUACUGA
This 3248-nucleotide ribosomal RNA is filed under the name Novophytoptus longissimus. RNAcentral's name for it is "partial large subunit ribosomal RNA". The stretch from base 399 to 1219 matches the Rfam family "Eukaryotic large subunit ribosomal RNA". The record is from RNAcentral. Lineage: Eukaryota; Metazoa; Arthropoda; Arachnida; Trombidiformes; Phytoptidae.